Molecule: ribosomal RNA, 370 nt
Filed under: uncultured bacterium
Lineage: Bacteria
Description: bacterial SSU rRNA
Rfam family: Bacterial small subunit ribosomal RNA
Source: RNAcentral
CACGAAGGUUUCGGCCUUAGUGGCGGACGGGUGAGUAACGCGUAGGUAUCUAUCCAUGGGUGGGGGAUAACACUGGGAAACUGGUGCUAAUACCGCAUGACACCUGAGGGUCAAAGGCGCACGCCGCGUGGGGGCCACCCGGCUUUUUAUUAUUUAGUUGGUGGGGUACAGGCCUACCAAGGCGAUAUUCAAUAGCUGGUUUGAGAGGAUGAUCAGCCACACUGGGACUGAGACACGGCCCAGACUCCUACGGGAGGCAGCAGUGGGGAAUAUUGGACAAUGGGGGCAACCUGAUCCAGCAAUGCCGCGUGUGUGAAGAAGUCCUUCCGAAUGUAAAGACCUUCCAACGGGACCAAUGAUGACCGUACCC